This 93-nucleotide transfer RNA is filed under the name Elsinoe australis. RNAcentral describes it as "tRNA-Gly". It matches the Rfam family "tRNA". From Rfam's summary of the family: Transfer RNA (tRNA) molecules are approximately 80 nucleotides in length. Their secondary structure includes four short double-helical elements and three loops (D, anti-codon, and T loops). The record is from RNAcentral. Lineage: Eukaryota; Fungi; Ascomycota; Dothideomycetes; Myriangiales; Elsinoaceae.
GCGUUCUUGGUCUAAUGGUUAGGAUUGGUGCCUUCCACUUGUAAAACUAUUCAAGCACAGCACUAGGUCGGGGUUCGAUUCCCCGAGGACGCA